GUUUUAUCGCUAUUUUGCAAACAAGGAAAUCAUUGUAUAUUCUUGAUAUUUUCUUAUAUGACACGUUUACACAAAAAGACUUUCUUUUUAAAACAUUGAUAAGAAUAAUGGCAACUAAAUUAGGAGGGAUAUUCUCAGUGAUCCUCUUAGUCCUCUGUAAAAAUUUACUUUCAAAGACACCUGGAACAGAUUACCACUAUAAAUGUACCGAGUGUACAUGUUUACUGGGUUCAUCUGUAUGCAAAAGCUGUACCUAUAACGAUGAAGGAG
This is a long non-coding RNA of Saccostrea cuccullata (small rock oyster), 270 nucleotides long. RefSeq lists it as uncharacterized. The transcript is spliced from 3 exons. Lineage: Eukaryota; Metazoa; Mollusca; Bivalvia; Ostreida; Ostreidae. The record is from RefSeq and is a predicted model, not a curated record.